This 774-nucleotide ribosomal RNA is filed under the name uncultured bacterium. Its description in RNAcentral is "bacterial SSU rRNA". It matches the Rfam family "Bacterial small subunit ribosomal RNA", at positions 8 to 796 of the family's 1533-position model. The record is from RNAcentral.
AGAGUUUGAUCAUGGCUCAGAAUCAACGCUGGCGGCGUGCCUAACACAUGCAAGUCGAACGAGAAAGUCCCGCAAGGGAUGAGUAAAGUGGCGCACGGGUGAGUAACACGUAGCUAACCUGCCCUCGAGUGGGGGAUAACCUGGGGAAACUCGGGCUAAUACCGCAUAACGUCCUGGUUGCGCGAGCAGCCGGGAUCAAAGGCCCGCAAGGGUCGCUUGGGGAGGGGGCUGCGGCCGAUUAGCUAGUUGGUGAGGUAACGGCUCACCAAGGCUAUGAUCGGUAUCCGGCCUGAGAGGGCGCACGGACACACUGGAACUGAAACACGGUCCAGACUCCUACGGGAGGCAGCAGUGGGGAAUUUUGCGCAAUGGGGGAAACCCUGACGCAGCAACGCCGCGUGGAGGAUGAGGCCCCUUGGGGCGUAAACUCCUUUCGACCAAGACGAUGAUGACGGUACUGGUGGAAGAAGCACCGGCUAACUCUGUGCCAGCAGCCGCGGUAAUACAGAGGGUGCGAGCGUUGUUCGGAAUUAUUGGGCGUAAAGGGCGCGUAGGCGGUGCCACAAGUCACUUGUGAAAUCUCCGGGCUUAACUCGGAGCCUGCAGGCGAAACUGUGGUGCUGGAGUAUGGGAGAGGUGCGUGGAAUUCCCGGUGUAGCGGUGAAAUGCAGAUAUCGGGAGGAACACCUGUGGCGAAAGCGGCGCACUGGACCAUAACUGACGCUGAGGCGCGAAAGCUAGGGGAGCAAACAGGAUUAGAUACCCUAGUAGUCC